This 315-nucleotide ribosomal RNA is filed under the name uncultured bacterium. RNAcentral describes it as "bacterial SSU rRNA". It matches the Rfam family "Bacterial small subunit ribosomal RNA", at positions 28 to 334 of the family's 1533-position model. The record is from RNAcentral.
GAUGAACGCUAGCGGCAGGCUUAACACAUGCAAGUCGAGGGGCAGCAUGGAGAGUAGCAAUACUCUCUGAUGGCGACCGGCGCAAGGGUGCGUAACGCGUGAGCAACUUGCCCUCAUCAGGGGAAUAAUCGCUGGAAACGGCGUCUAAUGCCCCAUGGUGAUGGAAUCAGGCAUCUGAUUUCAUCUAAAGAUCCGUCGGAUGAGGAUAGGCUCGCGUGACAUUAGCUAGACGGCGGGGUAACGGCCCACCGUGGCGACGAUGUCUAGGGGUUCUGAGAGGAAGGCCCCCCACACUGGUACUGAGACACGGACCAG